This 119-nucleotide ribosomal RNA is filed under the name Pteropus alecto (black flying fox). Lineage: Eukaryota; Metazoa; Chordata; Mammalia; Chiroptera; Pteropodidae. The record is from RNAcentral. RNAcentral also lists the same sequence under 1 other name.
GUCUACGGCCAUGCCACCCUGAAUAUGCCCUAUCUCAUCUGAUCUCGGAAGCUAAGCAGGGUUGAACCUGGUUAGUAUUUGGAAGGGAUACCACCUAGGAAUACCAGGUACUGUAGGUG